Molecule: ribosomal RNA, 506 nt
Filed under: uncultured bacterium
Lineage: Bacteria
Description: partial 16S ribosomal RNA
Rfam family: Bacterial small subunit ribosomal RNA
Source: RNAcentral
AUUGAACGCUGGCGGCAUGCCUAACACAUGCAAGUCGAACGGCAGCACGUUUUAGUUUACUAGAAUGGUGGCGAGUGGCGCACGGGUGAGUAAUGCGUAGGAAUAUACCUUGAAGUGGGGGAUAACUUGGGGAAACUCAAGCUAAUACCGCAUAAUCUCUGAGGAGGAAAGCUGGGGACCUUUUGGCCUGGCGCUUUAAGAUUAGCCUGCGUCCGAUUAGCUAGUUGGUGGGGUAAGGGCCUACCAAGGCGACGAUCGGUAGCUGGUCUGAGAGGAUGGCCAGCCACACUGGGACUGAGACACGGCCCAGACUCCUACGGGAGGCAGCAGUGGGGAAUAUUGGACAAUGGGGGCAACCCUGAUCCAGCAAUGCCGCGUGUGUGAAGAAGGCCUGAGGGUUGUAAAGCACUUUCAGUGGGGAGGAGGAUUGACAGGUUAAGAGCUAGUUAAUUGGACGUUACCCACAGAAGAAGCACCGGCUAACUCCGUGCCAGCCGCCGCGGUAA